This 460-nucleotide ribosomal RNA is filed under the name uncultured bacterium. RNAcentral's name for it is "partial 16S ribosomal RNA". It matches the Rfam family "Bacterial small subunit ribosomal RNA", at positions 338 to 795 of the family's 1533-position model. The record is from RNAcentral.
CCUACGGGAGACAGCAGUGAGGAAUAUUGGUCAAUGGGCGGGAGCCUGAACCAGCCAAGUCGCGUGAGGGAAGACGGUCCUACGGAUUGUAAACCUCUUUUGCCGGGGAGCAACGGGGUCCUUGCGAGGGCCCAAUGAGAGUACCCGGAGAAAAAGCAUCGGCUAACUCCGUGCCAACAGCCGCGGUAAUACGGAGGAUGCGAGCGGUAUCCGGAUUUAUUGGGUUUAAAGGGUGCGUAGGCGGGCUGUUAAGUCAGCGGUCAUAUGUCGGGGCUCAACCCCGGCCUGCCGUUGAAACUGGCGGCCUCGAGUGGGCGAGAAGUAUGCGGAAUGCGUGGUGUAGCGGUGAAAUGCAUAGAUAUCACGCAGAACUCCGAUUGCGAAGGCAGCAUACCGGCGCCCUACUGACGCUGAGGCACGAAAGCGUGGGUAUCGAACAGGAUUAGAUACCCUAGUAGUC